AUUAAUUGAAGCUAAAAUUAGCUGGUUACUGUUAAUAAUCAACUUGAAUAUUAAAACUAUUCCAAUUAAU
Molecule: transfer RNA, 70 nt
Filed under: Melecta chinensis
Lineage: Eukaryota; Metazoa; Arthropoda; Insecta; Hymenoptera; Apidae
Description: tRNA-Asn
Source: RNAcentral